Molecule: ribosomal RNA, 1302 nt
Filed under: Triticum aestivum (bread wheat)
Lineage: Eukaryota; Viridiplantae; Streptophyta; Magnoliopsida; Poales; Poaceae
Description: partial small subunit ribosomal RNA
Source: RNAcentral
AUGUACCAUGUUGCUGAGAUCCAACUCUCGCUGAUGCACGGCAUCUUCUACAGGAAGAAUGAGUUGAUCCACAAUUGGUACGGGUAUUGCAUCCGUGUUGCCUUGCUGCCGGCCACUGUCACCGCAUUGCUGCUGUUCCGUCGAGUAGGUGACAAAGAUGGUUUCAGCAAAGUAGAUCUCGUUGUCACUUAUGUUUUGCUCUCUGGAGCCGUCGUCCUGGAGAUCACAUCAGUGCUGAGGGCCAUGUCCUCCACCUGGAGGUACCUGUGUUUCACCCGCAUCCGCAUUCUUCCUUGUUGUAUGCCUCCUAUUAGUCGUCCAUUGUUAUAUCUUCUUGAACUUGUAUUUCAAUCUGGGGAGCUCGUCAGACGGGCAAUACAGAAAGUAGGAAUACUUAAGAGGUACUGGUCAGGCUCCAUGGGGCAACACAACUUUAUUUACAUGUGCAGCCACUGUAAGGACAGCCGAGGCAGCAAAAUCGCGAGAUGGAUAGGAAGAGAGGACUGGUGGAACACACUGGUUUACACGUCCUUGUCUGUCCCCGUCUCGCUAGAUUUCAGCGAGCUGCUGAAGGAACAACUGCGGGCAAGUGUGGGCGUCGACAAAGAGAAUCGAGACCACAUCCAAAACUCAAGGGGCCGGGCGGCGCUGAAGAAGAGGGGGUUGCAUGAGGAGCUGGCCUGGAGUGUGGACUCUGAGCUGGAUGAGAGCAUCCUGGUUUGGCACAUCGCCACUGAUGUCUACCUCAGCUGGUACGAGGCGGAACAUAAACGCCUGCCACAUCCUGCAAAGGUAACCCAGGAGCUCUCCAAUUACAUGAUGUUUCUGCUCGCAGCACGUCCCUACAUGCUGCCUGACAAUGCUAGUCGCCAAAGGUAUAUUGAACUGUGCAACAAGGUGAUCUAUCAUCUCCAAUACAACUCGGCCGUGGAUUUGAUCAAGUUAAUGCAGGGGCAUGGAGAUGCUCUCAAUGCUGAACAAACUCAGCCUGCCGUUGUGGUGGAAAAUCUAGUAGUCGAUAUGCCUGCUGCUACAACCAAAGAGAGUAGUGUAACAUUUGACAGAGCAUGUCAGCUUGGCUCGAAGCUGAUUAGCAAAGGGCUGGAAACACCUGAUGCCAUGCUUGAUCUGAUCAGCCAAGUGUGGGUGGAGAUGCUCUGCUACACAGGACACCGGUGCAGGCCAGAUUCUCAUGCCAGACAGCUGAGCAGUGGCGGCGAGAUCACCACCGUCGUUGCCAUUUUGAUGGAAUUCUUGAAAUCUGAUUUUUCUGAAGUUCAACAAAGAAGAGCGGGAUGCUGA